GUUAUGGUGGCAGAACCCGGUGAUUGCAAAAGGUCUAAGCCCUUUCUACAGGGGUUCAAAUCCCCUCCAUAACU
RNAcentral lists this transfer RNA (74 nucleotides) under Benthosema pterotum (skinnycheek lanternfish). RNAcentral's name for it is "tRNA-Leu". It matches the Rfam family "tRNA". From Rfam's summary of the family: Transfer RNA (tRNA) molecules are approximately 80 nucleotides in length. Their secondary structure includes four short double-helical elements and three loops (D, anti-codon, and T loops). Lineage: Eukaryota; Metazoa; Chordata; Actinopteri; Myctophiformes; Myctophidae. The record is from RNAcentral.